Molecule: ribosomal RNA, 301 nt
Filed under: uncultured bacterium
Lineage: Bacteria
Description: partial 16S ribosomal RNA
Rfam family: Bacterial small subunit ribosomal RNA
Source: RNAcentral
CAGUAGCCGCGGGAAAACGGAGGGUGCAAGCGUUAUCCGGAUUUAUUGGGUUUAAAGGGUCCGUAGGCGGAUCUGUAAGUCAGUGGUGAAAUCUCACAGCUUAACUGUGAAACUGCCAUUGAUACUGCAGGUCUUGAGUAAAUUUGAAGUGGCUGGAAUAAGUAGUGUAGCGGUGAAAUGCAUAGAUAUUACUUAGAACACCAAUUGCGAAGGCAGGUCACUAAGAUUUAACUGACGCUGAUGGACGAAAGCGUGGGGAGCGAACAGGAUUAGAUACCCCAGUAGUCCCUGUCUCUUAUCA